CUGCUUGAGACUACCGAGUGUUGUAUACGUUUGUCCUUUUCUCAAUAGCGAAGCAGGAUAGGGCCUGGCUGGUACUUGGAUGGAGAAUCGCCUGGUUAUACCGGGUACUUGAGGUUU
Molecule: ribosomal RNA, 117 nt
Filed under: Aotus nancymaae (Ma's night monkey)
Lineage: Eukaryota; Metazoa; Chordata; Mammalia; Primates; Aotidae
Source: RNAcentral